GCACCUAGUUUACACCUAGAAGAUUUCAAAUAAAAUGACCACUUUGA
Molecule: transfer RNA, 47 nt
Filed under: Antrozous pallidus (pallid bat)
Lineage: Eukaryota; Metazoa; Chordata; Mammalia; Chiroptera; Vespertilionidae
Description: partial tRNA-Val
Source: RNAcentral